CCCUUAGAUGUUCUGGACCGCACGCGCGCUACACUGUUCGACGCAGCGAGUCUUAACCUUGACCGAAAGGUUUGGGUAAUCUUCAGCAAAGUCGAACGUGAUGGGGAUCGAUCAUUGCAAUUAUUGAUCGUGAACGAGGAAUUCCUAGUAAGUGCAAGUCAUCAGCUUGCGCUGAUUACGUCCCUGCCCUUUGUACACACCGCCCGUCGCUACUACCGAUUGAAUGGUUUAGUGAGAUCUCUGGAUUGACGCUGGCUAGGGGGCGACCCUUGGCCAGACUGUUGAGAAACUGCUCAAACUUGAUCAUUUAGAGGAAGUAAAAGUCGUAACA
RNAcentral lists this ribosomal RNA (331 nucleotides) under uncultured eukaryote. RNAcentral describes it as "partial 18S ribosomal RNA". It matches the Rfam family "Eukaryotic small subunit ribosomal RNA", at positions 1470 to 1796 of the family's 1831-position model. The record is from RNAcentral.